CCUACGGGCGGCUGCAGUGGGGAAUAUUGGACAAUGGGGGCAACCCUGAUCCAGCCAUGCCGCGUGUGUGAAGAAGGCCCUCGGGUUGUAAAGCACUUUCAGUGAGGAAGAACGCCUGGUGGUUAAUACCCAUCAGGAAAGACAUCACACACAGAAGAAGCACCGGCUAACUCCGUGCCAGCAGCCGCGGUAAUACGGAGGGUGCGAGCGUUAAUCGGAAUUACUGGGCGUAAAGCGCGCGUAGGUGGCUUGAUAAGCCGGUUGUGAAAGCCCCGGGCUCAACCUGGGAACGGCAUCCGGAACUGUCAAGCUAGAGUGCAGGAGAGGAAGGUAGAAUUCCCGGUGUAGCGGUGAAAUGCGUAGAGAUCGGGAGGAAUACCAGUGGCGAAGGCGGCCUUCUGGACUGACACUGACACUGAGGUGCGAAAGCGUGGGUAGCAAACAGGAUUAGAUACCCUGGUAGUC
RNAcentral lists this ribosomal RNA (465 nucleotides) under Vreelandella stevensii. Its description in RNAcentral is "partial 16S ribosomal RNA". It matches the Rfam family "Bacterial small subunit ribosomal RNA", at positions 338 to 795 of the family's 1533-position model. The record is from RNAcentral. Lineage: Bacteria; Pseudomonadati; Pseudomonadota; Gammaproteobacteria; Oceanospirillales; Halomonadaceae.